AGAGUUUGAUCCUGGCUCAGAUUGAACGCUGGCGGCAGGCUUAACACAUGCAAGUCGAGCGGCAGCACAGGGGAGCUUGCUCCCUGGGUGACGAGCGGCGGACGGGUGAGUAAUGUCUGGGAAACUGCCUGAUGGAGGGGGAUAACUACUGGAAACGGUAGCUAAUACCGCAUAACGUCGCAAGACCAAAGAGGGGGACCUUCGGGCCUCUUGCCAUCAGAUGUGCCCAGAUGGGAUUAGCUAGUAGGUGGGGUAAUGGCUCACCUAGGCGACGAUCCCCAGCUGGUCUGAGAGGAUGACCAGCCACACUGGAACUGAGACACGGUCCAGACUCCUACGGAGGCAGCAGUGGGGAAUAUUGCACAAUGGGCGCAAGCCUGAUGCAGCCAUGCCGCGUGUGUGAAGAAGGCCUUCGGGUUGUAAAGCACUUUCAGCGAGGAGGAAGGUGGUGAGCUUAAUACGCUCAUCAAUUGACGUUACUCGCAGAAGAAGCACCGGCUAACUCCGUGCCAGCAGCCGCGGUAAUACGGAGGGUGCAAGCGUUAAUCGGAAUUACUGGGCGUAAAGCGCACGCAGGCGGUUUGUUAAGUCAGAUGUGAAAUCCCCGGGCUCAACCUGGGAACUGCAUUUGAAACUGGCAAGCUAGAGUCUCGUAGAGGGGGGUAGAAUUCCAGGUGUAGCGGUGAAAUGCGUAGAGAUCUGGAGGAAUACCGGUGGCGAAGGCGGCCCCCUGGACGAAGACUGACGCUCAGGUGCGAAAGCGUGGGGAGCAAACAGGAUUAGGUACCCUGGUAGUCCACGCUGUAAACGAUGUCGAUUUGGAGGUUGUGCCCUUGAGGCGUGGCUUCCGGAGCUAACGCGUUAAAUCGACCGCCUGGGGAGUACGGCCGCAAGGUUAAAACUCAAAUGAAUUGACGGGGGCCCGCACAAGCGGUGGAGCAUGUGGUUUAAUUCGAUGCAACGCGAAGAACCUUACCUACUCUUGACAUCCAGAGAACUUUCCAGAGAUGGAUUGGUGCCUUCGGGAACUCUGAGACAGGUGCUGCAUGGCUGUCGUCAGCUCGUGUUGUGAAAUGUUGGGUUAAGUCCCGCAACGAGCGCAACCCUUAUCCUUUGUUGCCAGCGGUUCGGCCGGGAACUCAAAGGAGACUGCCAGUGAUAAACUGGAGGAAGGUGGGGAUGACGUCAAGUCAUCAUGGCCCUUACGAGUAGGGCUACACACGUGCUACAAUGGCGUAUACAAAGAGAAGCGACCUCGCGAGAGCAAGCGGACCUCAUAAAGUACGUCGUAGUCAGGAUUGGAGUCUGCAACUCGACUCCAUGAAGUCGGAAUCGCUAGUAAUCGUAGAUCAGAAUGCUACGGUGAAUACGUUCCCGGGCCUUGUACACACCGCCCGUCACACCAUGGGAGUGGGUUGCAAAAGAAGUAGGUAGCUUAACCUUCGGGAGGGCGCUUACCACUUUGUGAUUCAUGACUGGGGUGAAGUCGUAACAAGGUAACC
RNAcentral lists this ribosomal RNA (1502 nucleotides) under uncultured bacterium. Its description in RNAcentral is "bacterial SSU rRNA". It matches the Rfam family "Bacterial small subunit ribosomal RNA". The record is from RNAcentral.